RNAcentral lists this ribosomal RNA (523 nucleotides) under Saccharomyces cerevisiae (brewer's yeast). Its description in RNAcentral is "partial large subunit ribosomal RNA". It matches the Rfam family "Eukaryotic large subunit ribosomal RNA", at positions 111 to 648 of the family's 3401-position model. Lineage: Eukaryota; Fungi; Ascomycota; Saccharomycetes; Saccharomycetales; Saccharomycetaceae. The record is from RNAcentral.
AAAUUUGAAAUCUGGUACCUUCGGUGCCCGAGUUGUAAUUUGGAGAGGGCAACUUUGGGGCCGUUCCUUGUCUAUGUUCCUUGGAACAGGACGUCAUAGAGGGUGAGAAUCCCGUGUGGCGAGGAGUGCGGUUCUUUGUAAAGUGCCUUCGAAGAGUCGAGUUGUUUGGGAAUGCAGCUCUAAGUGGGUGGUAAAUUCCAUCUAAAGCUAAAUAUUGGCGAGAGACCGAUAGCGAACAAGUACAGUGAUGGAAAGAUGAAAAGAACUUUGAAAAGAGAGUGAAAAAGUACGUGAAAUUGUUGAAAGGGAAGGGCAUUUGAUCAGACAUGGUGUUUUGUGCCCUCUGCUCCUUGUGGGUAGGGGAAUCUCGCAUUUCACUGGGCCAGCAUCAGUUUUGGUGGCAGGAUAAAUCCAUAGGAAUGUAGCUUGCCUCGGUAAGUAUUAUAGCCUGUGGGAAUACUGCCAGCUGGGACUGAGGACUGCGACGUAAGUCAAGGAUGCUGGCAUAAUGGUUAUAUGCCGC